Molecule: long non-coding RNA, 222 nt
Filed under: Setaria viridis
Lineage: Eukaryota; Viridiplantae; Streptophyta; Magnoliopsida; Poales; Poaceae
Description: long non-coding RNA (SVIR_LNC004834)
Source: RNAcentral
ACCACUUGUAGUCGCUAGCCCAAAUCUUUUAUGGCCUAGUGACUCUCCUGAAGUCUUGAUCACCUUCAUGCAUAUUCAGAACCUAUUUGUUUCUGCUUUACAUUAUGAUAAUCUGGAUCGUGGACUGGUGAGCUAGAUUUUAAAAUAUUUGUAGGUCUUGCAAUCUGGAUUUUGGAUUCUAGCCUCUUUCUCACCCUUGAGCCAUACUAUUUUUUCCUCUCA